GGCCUGGUCAGUCCCCCAGCUUUCCUAGCGACAUCAUAGUGCAAGUUUCCUAAGCUCUGUGAGCUUCCCAAGCCUCAUGAUUCUCCUUCCGCCCUUUGCUGGGGUGUUGCAGGCUGGAGGAAAUAGCUACCCAACAUGGAUGUAGUUUACUCCUUGUCUCAGUGAGACAGAAGGGAAAGAAAUGCACAACAGUGGUUCCAGUAACCCAUUAAAGUCAGCCGCAAGCUCCAGCUGCAUCCAUGUCUGCAUGUCGGUCGCUGCUGUAUCUGCAGUUUCCCUUGUGUUCCCCAGCCUUCUGAGCUAUGAGAGAGCGACCAGGUGUGGCAAGCCACCUCAUCUCUUAGGAGCAAACUUUGUAUGCCGAGAAGCUCCAGCCCCACCCUGGAAACCUGUAGCUCUUCUGAGGCCAGAGUACUGGGCAGACUUCCCAAUGCUGGCCUAGCCUGUUUGGGAUCCUGGGGGUUCCAAAGGGAUCCUGGGGGUUACUGGUUCCUUUCCCAAGAACAAGUUGCUUUUGCAGCCACCCCGAAUGCUGUUGUGUGCUGAAACAUAAAGGUAGCACUCUGCCAGCCUUUUGGGGAAGGUAGCAACAGACUCCUAGCUUGGGUCCCUUCCUUACCCUGUGCCCUUGCCUUCCUUCCUUUCAUGCUUACCUACCGUCAAGCACAGGUGGGCUAAGGAUGUACCCAGGGCCCAUUUCUUAUCUUGUAAGAGAUAGCUGGUGAUAGUCAGGACACAUGGAUUAAAAAUGGGAAACAUUCAG
Molecule: long non-coding RNA, 763 nt
Filed under: Cricetulus griseus (Chinese hamster)
Lineage: Eukaryota; Metazoa; Chordata; Mammalia; Rodentia; Cricetidae
Description: lncRNA (ENSCGRG00000026080.1)
Source: RNAcentral